RNAcentral lists this ribosomal RNA (253 nucleotides) under uncultured bacterium. RNAcentral describes it as "partial 16S ribosomal RNA". It matches the Rfam family "Bacterial small subunit ribosomal RNA", at positions 524 to 776 of the family's 1533-position model. The record is from RNAcentral.
UACGUAUGGUGCAAGCGUUAUCCGGAUUUACUGGGUGUAAAGGGAGCGUAGACGGAAUUGCAAGUCUGAUGUGAAAAUCCGGGGCCCAACCCCGGAACUGCAUUGGAAACUGUAUUUCUCGAGUGUCGGAGAGGCAAGUGGAAUUCCUGGUGUAGCGGUGAAAUGCGUAGAUAUCAGGAGGAACACCAGUGGCGAAGGCGGCUUGCUGGACGAUGACUGACGUUGAGGCUCGAAAGCGUGGGGAGCAAACAGG